This 382-nucleotide ribosomal RNA is filed under the name Polyporivora boletina. Its description in RNAcentral is "partial 16S ribosomal RNA". The record is from RNAcentral. Lineage: Eukaryota; Metazoa; Arthropoda; Insecta; Diptera; Platypezidae.
CGAAGGUAGGCAUAAUCAGUAGUCUUUUAAUUGAAGGCUCGUAUGAAUGGUUGGAUGAAAUAUAGACUGUUUCAUAAAAAUUUAUAAUAGAAUUUUAUUUUUUAGUUAAAAAGCUAAAAUAAUUUUAAAAGACGAGAAGACCCUAUAAAUCUUUAUACUUUUGUUAUUUUAAUUAUUAGGAUUAGGUUAAUUAUUAUAAUUAGAAGUAUUUUAUUGGGGUGAUAUUAAAAUUUAAAAAACUUUUAAUUUAUUUAAACAUUAAUUUAUGAACUUUUGAUCCAUUAUUAGUGAUUAAAAAUUUAAGUUACUUUAGGGAUAACAGCGUAAUUUUUUUGGAGAGUUCAUAUUGAUAAAAAAGAUUGCGACCUCGAUGUUGGAUAAA